This 334-nucleotide microRNA precursor is filed under the name Tarenaya hassleriana. RNAcentral describes it as "partial MIR824 splice variant 3". The record is from RNAcentral. Lineage: Eukaryota; Viridiplantae; Streptophyta; Magnoliopsida; Brassicales; Cleomaceae.
GAGAGGCUAUAGGCAUCUAGCAUCUGAUGUAUUUUGCCCAGGUAAUCCUAACCAGGUGAGUACAUUUUCAGCCGAAGAACUUUGCUAUGCUGACGAAGUAUUCUCGGGGAUAUUCCAAUAUAUAAAGGUUUGUUAUGGUAAUGAGUUCUGGUAAUUGGACUCAACGGUCACAUAUACCCUAUUAUUAAUAGUUUCCGAAGUCAUAUUAUCCCCUAACUGGACUUGCAUUUAUCUUUUUCAUCUGCUGUUCUAACUGUUGUUUUCAGAAUAAUAUGCAUGCAAUGUAUUCGGAGGCAAGAUAUACAAAAACAUACCGAUGGUUUUCUUGCAAGUU